UACGUAGGGUGCAAGCGUUGUCCGGAAUUAUUGGGCGUAAAGAGCUCGUAGGCGGUUUGUUGCGUCGGCUGUGAAAUCCCGAGGCUCAACCUCGGGUCUGCAGUCGAUACGAGCAAACUAGAGUGUUGCAGGGGAGACUGGAAUUCCUGGUGUAGCGGUGAAAUGCGUAGAGAUCGGGAGGAACACCAGUGGCGAAGGCGGCCUCUGGACCAAUACUGACGCUCAUGCACGAAAGCGUGGGGGAGCAAACAGG
This 253-nucleotide ribosomal RNA is filed under the name uncultured bacterium. RNAcentral's name for it is "partial 16S ribosomal RNA". It matches the Rfam family "Bacterial small subunit ribosomal RNA", at positions 524 to 776 of the family's 1533-position model. The record is from RNAcentral.